RNAcentral lists this long non-coding RNA (722 nucleotides) under Equus asinus (donkey). RNAcentral's name for it is "lncRNA (ENSEASG00005037801.1)". Lineage: Eukaryota; Metazoa; Chordata; Mammalia; Perissodactyla; Equidae. The record is from RNAcentral.
AGACAAGCCAUCUAAAGUUAAUUGGGUAUGUUUUAAGAAUGCAGAUUUUUAUCUCCUCUCCUGCUUAAGACUCCACUAAAUUGACAGUAAAGGAACUACAACAGCAAAAAGAAAGUAGAAACCUAUAAAAGACAAAGAGAAUAAAGACAGAAGCAGACCGGAGGAUUCAAUGCGAUAUUGGAAGACAGGACCUGAUGGAGGAGAGAAGGACCUAGAGGGUAGAGGGACUGUUGUCCUCCCCUACAGUUUGGCAACUUGGACGGCAUAAAACUUAACUGGCUGGACACUGCUCACUCCUGAACCACUGCAGCUGAGAGAUCCUGGACCCCUGACAAAAGCCUGCAGGAGGUCUUGAGAGCUUGGUUUUGUGGCCUUUCUGGUCUCCACCAUCUGGAGGAUGCACCUACCGGCAUACAUCUUGGUGGCCAGUUGAGUAGCCUGGGGCUCCAGGACAAACUCUCUUUGUCCAGCUGUGUCAGCUUUCAGGGAAGUUUGUCAUAAGAGGUCCCAAUUGCUUUCAUAGGGACAUUUGUCGUUUCAACUUUCAUUGCUAGUUCAUUCCACCUGUGCAAUGAAGGCCUUUGCUUUCUUAGACUAUUUUUGGGAGUGAACUUUCUGGAUCUUGUGAGGGUUGCUCCUUUUGCACUCUCUUUUGGGGAUGCCUCUUGUGUCCAUGGUUAAGUUGGAAAAGGCUUAUUGGUUUGAGUUGCUAUCAAGAUCCU